RNAcentral lists this ribosomal RNA (468 nucleotides) under uncultured bacterium. RNAcentral describes it as "partial 16S ribosomal RNA". It matches the Rfam family "Bacterial small subunit ribosomal RNA", at positions 28 to 507 of the family's 1533-position model. The record is from RNAcentral.
GACGAACGCUGGCGGCGUGCUUAACACAUGCAAGUCGAACGGAAAGGCCCUGCUUUUGUGGGGUGCUCGAGUGGCGAACGGGUGAGUAACACGUGAGUAACCUGCCCUUGACUUUGGGAUAACUUCAGGAAACUGGGGCUAAUACCGGAUAGGAGCUCCUGCUGCAUGGUGGGGGUUGGAAAGUUUCGGCGGUUGGGGAUGGACUCGCGGCUUAUCAGCUUGUUGGUGGGGUAGUGGCUUACCAAGGCUUUGACGGGUAGCCGGCCUGAGAGGGUGACCGGCCACAUUGGGACUGAGAUACGGCCCAGAUUCCUACGGGAGGCAGCAGUGGGGAAUAUUGCACAAUGGGCGGAAGCCUGAUGCAGCAACGCCGCGUGCGGGAUGACGGCCUUCGGGUUGUAAACCGCUUUCGCCUGUGACGAAGCGUGAGUGGCGGUAAUGGGUAAAGAAGCACCGGCUAACUACGUG